Molecule: transfer RNA, 73 nt
Filed under: Agrilus planipennis (emerald ash borer)
Lineage: Eukaryota; Metazoa; Arthropoda; Insecta; Coleoptera; Buprestidae
Rfam family: tRNA
About the family: Transfer RNA (tRNA) molecules are approximately 80 nucleotides in length. Their secondary structure includes four short double-helical elements and three loops (D, anti-codon, and T loops).
Source: Rfam by way of RNAcentral
CCUCUUGUAGCUUAGUGGUCAGAUCAUUGGUCAGUAAAGCCAAAGGUCCCGGGUUCGACUCCCGGCAAGGGUG